UUUCCCUUCUGUAGAGACAGUCUACACAUUCCAAUGUCUCUGCCUCUGCUCUGAUUAUGCUACAUGAAUUGACCUUUCUCCAUCCAAACCUUUUUCAGACCCAUUCAAACAUCCUUUCCUUCAUGACGCUUAUCUGAUUCGACUCUCUUCCUUACAACUCCUUCCAACUACAAGUGUAUCUGUUACAGUGUUUAGCACAUUCUGGUUUAUCUUUACUGCUUAUCUUUCUCCCUUACUGAUCUUUCUUGUACAGUUCAUAAGGAGAAGUCAUGCUUGUAUCACAUUUGAAUCAUCCCCAGCAAGUAGUGGAACACCUACAUGAAUUAAUUCAAAUGAGUUUUUCAUGUGAUUUUUUUAAAUGAAAAUUCCACGGGAGAUUACCAUCUCAGAGAGAAAACUAAUUUAAGACUCCUUCACAGAUUAUCAGAUGAGGAUGUGGAAUCAAAGAAGUUUGAAUUGUUAUAAAUGUAUCUGCUCUCAGGAGGCAGAUGAAGGGAAAUUGUAUACGGUACAUUUGGUUUCUCCUUGAUUACUAGCAGCUGCCCAGGACAUUAACAUGAAGUCUCCGGCCUCAGGCUUCUGGAAACCAAGACACCGUGGGACCUCCAUUAAUUGUGGAUGAAGAAAAGGCACAGGAGAGAAAAUUUAAAAAGACCUGUGUAGCUCCUCACGUAGCAAAGCCUACCUUAUUGUGAAGCCUGCAUCUGUGGAAGGGGAUUUUCUACAAAGACCAUCCUCCCCAAGGAUGGGAGAAGCCAGCCUAUAUGACGUGGCCUGGCACUGUGAGGGUUCACACAGAGAAUCUUCUCACUCAGCCUCUUCCCAGGGCUGCAAACACUUUUAGGGAAUCCAUGAUGAAUUAAAGAGAAAAUUGAAUUGAUCCUGAGGACAUUCUGCAGGGCAGGCUACAACGUUUGCAGGGCCCAGAAUACAAUGAAAUUGUGGGUCUUCUUGUUCAAAAGUAGAAAAAAAGUGCUACUAAUGAUGCUAAAGUAUAAAGCUUUUGC
This 1007-nucleotide long non-coding RNA is filed under the name Homo sapiens (human). RNAcentral's name for it is "HSALNT0127313". Lineage: Eukaryota; Metazoa; Chordata; Mammalia; Primates; Hominidae. The record is from RNAcentral.